Molecule: ribosomal RNA, 225 nt
Filed under: uncultured prokaryote
Description: partial 16S ribosomal RNA
Rfam family: Bacterial small subunit ribosomal RNA
Source: RNAcentral
UACGGAGGGUGCAAGCGUUAUCCGGAUUCACUGGGUUUAAAGGGUGCGUAGGUGGGCAGGUAAGUCAGUGGUGAAAUCUCCGAGCUUAACUCGGAAACUGCCGUUGAUACUAUCUGUCUUGAAUUUUCUGGAGGUAAGCGGAAUAUGUCAUGUAGCGGUGAAAUGCUUAGAUAUGACAUAGAACACCCAUUGCGAAGGCAGCUUACUACGGGACAAUUGACACUG